Molecule: non-coding RNA, 383 nt
Organism: Chiloscyllium plagiosum (whitespotted bambooshark)
Lineage: Eukaryota; Metazoa; Chordata; Chondrichthyes; Orectolobiformes; Hemiscylliidae
Source: RefSeq, a predicted model, not a curated record
ACGAUGUCACGUACAAAGCUAACUCGUGGAGUUGAAACAGACUGAAGUUAUAUCAAUGAUUUAAUGGGGGAGAAGAGGGAGAAUCAAGAUCCUGAUUUAUCCUUGGUUAUCCAUUUUUUCCACUCUACAAUACUCCUCUACAUCCCAGCUUGUCUUUUUUAAAGAAAUGAACCACCUUUACAGAAUUGUCGAUCUGUGAAAAGGCCAAAGGCCAGAGCUGACAUCGCUUUAAAAUCUGCUGCCUGACGAGCUAUUAGAUCCAGAUGUCUACCUAUGCCGCCCGUACUUGGAGGGUUUUAUUUUGGGUUCCACUGUUCAAAUAGACUCGGGCCUGACCUCCAGGCCCGCUGUCAAGGAAAGGUCGCCAAUGUUCUUAAAGAUCU